CGGAGGGGAAACGCCCGGUUACAUUCCGAACCCGGAAGCUAAGCCCUCCAGCGCCGAUGGUACUGCACUCGUGAGGGUGUGGGAGAGUAGGACGCCGCCGGAC
Molecule: ribosomal RNA, 103 nt
Filed under: Micromonospora arida
Lineage: Bacteria; Bacillati; Actinomycetota; Actinomycetes; Micromonosporales; Micromonosporaceae
Source: RNAcentral